Topomyia yanbarensis is the source of this 509-nucleotide long non-coding RNA. RefSeq lists it as uncharacterized. NCBI's taxonomy places the organism in Eukaryota, Metazoa, Arthropoda, Insecta, Diptera, Culicidae. The transcript is spliced from 3 exons. The record is from RefSeq and is a predicted model, not a curated record.
UGCAUGACAGCAAGGACAGACGAAAAAGAGAAGACAACGUGUUGGUCUGUUCCACAUCUUGUUGCCCUUAAGGUUACUUAAAGCUAAUUAAAUUAACUACAAAAUAGCGGAAUCUAUUAGAGGCAUUACGAUUAACUACUGAUUACCGAGAGAGUAGAAGGUUAUGUGAACCGUAGGUGAUAUUAAGUGUGGCCUACAUAAGAUCUGAGAUGAUUUAACUGCGGAGAGCAUAAUGAAUUUGCUUAUUAACUAUUAUAGCGUGAAGUAAAAGAAUAAGUUGGAUAGAAGUGAAAAAGGUGAAGGGAAUAAGGGAAACUAAACGAAGUUUUUAAUCCUUCCGCAUCAAAUAAAAGGAGUUAAAAUCACGGAAAAUCCUUGUUCCUUCGACAUAAAUCCAACAGUAUCAAUUACAAUAAUAGACGUGUAAUGUAGCUUUAGAAAACAUAAUAUGCGGAAAAUUGAAACAAUUUCUUCGGACUACGGAUAAUCGAAUCAUUUUCUACAGAUAA